CCAAAAAAUGGAAAUGGAAGGAAAUAAUGGCUAAAAAUCUUCAAAUUAAACGAUUACCCAAUUUCUAUAAUCAUUUCACAAUCGGUGAUUAUAAACAAGGCUCAGUAAAUAAUAGAUAUUAUAGCCAGAGGGGCUGUAACAAAACAUAAUUCAAACCACUUGUCUGGGGUAGAGAAGUAAAAUAAAAAGUAAAAAAAAAUUUUUAAUAAUUUUCUGCAACAUUGGUACUACUUUAAGCAUGACUAGUAAAUCACAUCUAAGAGGUAAAAUCUUAAUAUAAUUCAUGAAUUAAAUAUUAAGAUAUUUUGUAUAACUUGAAAUUUUCAGAAAAUUGUGUUUUUCCAAAGAUGAGUUUGAAGAAAAUUAACAGACAAAUAAAGGAUUUGGAGACGUUGCAGUUGAUCAUUUUAAUUCACACAGAAAAGCCUUAGAAACUUAAUAAUAUCUAAUUCACAUACACUUAUCUAAGUAUAUUACUCAAGUAACCUAUUUUAAAUUUUUGUCAAAACCAAAAGUUAAUUAGUGGUUUAAUGUUUUUAGUUCAUGCAGUAGAUUAUACUUAUUACGGUUUUCAAAACUGAAAUAUAUGAUGUACCACAUACAAGGAACUAUGAGUUAAGCCAAUGUAUUAUCAAUUUUUCAGACGUCGACUUUCUUGAAGAUAAUUCUACCGAUUCAGAUGAAGCCAUACAAUAUAGGAGCAGAUUAUAAAACUUAAAGGCAAUGCAAUUUUUCUGAGCAAGAAUCCAAUUUCAAUAACACAAAGGGUCUCAACAUAUUUAAAUUGCAAAGAAACACAUAACUAGUUUGGACGUUGGUAUUUUUUCUGAAGGGGAAGUGCAUCUAGUUGGAUGCAUUAAACAGUGUUUACACGCAUAUUUUGCCCGUGUCUUGUUCUAAACAAUUGGAUCAAAAGCCACAUCCAGCUGUCAUCACACGUCAUAUCAUUUGUGAUAUCGUAACUAUUGCACAAGAUUUUUGACAGACGUUUCACCUGUCAGAAUAGUUGGCAUGAGCUGUGAACAAAUAUAUAUUGAAGAUGUUGCUGAUGAGCUGAUAAAAGAAUAGGGGUGUCUUACAUACAUAUUAUAUUCAAAGUAGUAAUAUUAAUUAUCAAAUUUAAUAAAAUAUGUAAAUUAUAGGUUUACUGGUUGUCAAACCCUAUCCCAUUCGUGGAACUUACUUCUCAACAAGGAAAGACAUACUUCUUUGGAAGAAGACUAAGUGAACACCAAUUACCUUCAGCUGCACUCUGAAUCAUAAUUGUGAAUUAUUUUUCAAAGAUUUAUUUAUAAUUAUA
Acyrthosiphon pisum (pea aphid) is the source of this 1300-nucleotide long non-coding RNA. RefSeq lists it as uncharacterized. The transcript has 3 exons. The record is from RefSeq and is a predicted model, not a curated record. Lineage: Eukaryota; Metazoa; Arthropoda; Insecta; Hemiptera; Aphididae.